GUGAGCGGUCGCUUUUUUGUUGUUGCCACCAAGAAUUGUGGGACGGGAUUAUCUCUUUUUCCUUUUGUAAAGGACGUCCGGUGUAUCCUAUUCUAAAAGGAGAUAAGAAAGGAAGCAUGCGCGCUCCUUUCCUUAAACAUUUAAGGCCACAUAAAUACUUCCAGGUCAAUUAAUCAACCAGGCCCCCUGACUCUGUUUGACCUGAACCUUAAUUAGUAUCAUUGGUAACACCUGUGUUUACCCGACUAUUUCAUGUCAAAAAUGAAGUCUGUUUAGUGUCAGCUAUUAGAAAAGCCAAGUCACUUUCCUAGGUGUUCACUUCCUAUGAACAUGUUUGCACUGUGUGUAAUCACAGCUUAUCACAGGUGACCCUGACCUUGACCUGCUCUGGCCUUGGUCUAGAGCAGUCAAGGCUGUGGUGUAAACAGUUUCACAGCUGGUGUCUGAAACUGAUGAUGUAACACAAGUGUUUAGACUGACAGCACACAGCGGGAGUGCCUCAAAUGUUCCAAAGUGGUGCUACACGUGACCAACGUCAACAAAAGACCUGUGAGUGUAAGCUUUGCUACAAGGUACACACAACAAAGAGAGGGACUACAUGUUCUGCUUGUUUUAACUACGGGCCAAAAGGAAAAAAAAGAAAAAGCUGCUGCUUUUUUGAGGAUGGAUGGCCAGCGUUAGUGCUAAUAAAACCAGCUCAUGCUAAAAAACAAAAAA
Larimichthys crocea (large yellow croaker) is the source of this 717-nucleotide long non-coding RNA. RefSeq lists it as uncharacterized. The record is from RefSeq and is a predicted model, not a curated record. Lineage: Eukaryota; Metazoa; Chordata; Actinopteri; Sciaenidae. The transcript has 2 exons.